RNAcentral lists this transfer RNA (67 nucleotides) under Lachnaia cylindrica. RNAcentral's name for it is "tRNA-Asp". It matches the Rfam family "tRNA". From Rfam's summary of the family: Transfer RNA (tRNA) molecules are approximately 80 nucleotides in length. Their secondary structure includes four short double-helical elements and three loops (D, anti-codon, and T loops). Lineage: Eukaryota; Metazoa; Arthropoda; Insecta; Coleoptera; Chrysomelidae. The record is from RNAcentral.
AAAAAUUUAGUUAAAAUAAUAACAUUGGCUUGUCAAGCUAAAAUUAUUACUUAAGUAAUAAUUUUUA